GCAAGUCGGACGAGGUGCGUGGCUUCGGCUUCGUUACCUAGUGGCGGACGGGUGAGUAACGCGUGGGAACCUGCCCUGGAGUGGGGAAUAACCACUGGAAACGGUGGCUAAUACCGCAUACGCCCUCUUUGGUGAAACUUGGGGGGGAAAGGCUUCGGCCGCUUUAGGAUGGGCCCGCGUCCGAUUAGCUAGUUGGUGAGGUAACGGCUUACCAAGGCGACGAUCGGUAGCUGGUCUGAGAGGAUGAUC
Molecule: ribosomal RNA, 249 nt
Filed under: uncultured bacterium
Lineage: Bacteria
Description: partial 16S ribosomal RNA
Rfam family: Bacterial small subunit ribosomal RNA
Source: RNAcentral